GAUGAACGCUGGCGGCGUGCCUAAUACAUGCAAGUCGAGCGAACGGACGAGAAGCUUGCUUCUCUGAUGUUAGCGGCGGACGGGUGAGUAACACGUGGAUAACCUACCUAUAAGACUGGGAUAACUUCGGGAAACCGGAGCUAAUACCGGAUAAUAUUUUGAACCGCAUGGUUCAAAAGUGAAAGACGGUCUUGCUGUCACUUAUAGAUGGAUCCGCGCUGCAUUAGCUAGUUGGUAAGGUAACGGCUUACCAAGGCAACGAUGCAUAGCCGACCUGAGAGGGUGAUCGGCCACACUGGAACUGAGACACGGUCCAGACUCCUACGGGAGGCAGCAGUAGGGAAUCUUCCGCAAUGGGCGAAAGCCUGACGGAGCAACGCCGCGUGAGUGAUGAAGGUCUUCGGAUCGUAAAACUCUGUUAUUAGGGAAGAACAUAUGUGUAAGUAACUGUGCACAUCUUGACGGUACCUAAUCAGAAAGCCACGGCUAACUACGUGCCAGCAGCCGCGGUAAUACGUAGGUGGCAAGCGUUAUCCGGAAUUAUUGGGCGUAAAGCGCGCGUAGGCGGUUUUUUAAGUCUGAUGUGAAAGCCCACGGCUCAACCGUGGAGGGUCAUUGGAAACUGGAAAACUUGAGUGCAGAAGAGGAAAGUGGAAUUCCAUGUGUAGCGGUGAAAUGCGCAGAGAUAUGGAGGAACACCAGUGGCGAAGGCGACUUUCUGGUCUGUAACUGACGCUGAUGUGCGAAAGCGUGGGGAUCAAACAGGAUUAGAUACCCUGGUAGUCCACGCCGUAAACGAUGAGUGCUAAGUGUUAGGGGGUUUCCGCCCCUUAGUGCUGCAGCUAACGCAUUAAGCACUCCGCCUGGGGAGUACGACCGCAAGGUUGAAACUCAAAGGAAUUGACGGGGACCCGCACAAGCGGUGGAGCAUGUGGUUUAAUUCGAAGCAACGCGAAGAACCUUACCAAAUCUUGACAUCCUCUGACAACUCUAGAGAUAGAGCCUUCCCCUUCGGGGGACAAAGUGACAGGUGGUGCAUGGUUGUCGUCAGCUCGUGUCGUGAGAUGUUGGGUUAAGUCCCGCAACGAGCGCAACCCUUAAGCUUAGUUGCCAUCAUUAAGUUGGGCACUCUAAGUUGACUGCCGGUGGCAAACCGGAGGAAGGUGGGGAUGACGUCAAAUCAUCAUGCCCCUUAUGAUUUGGGCUACACACGUGCUACAAUGGACAAUACAAAGGGCAGCGAAACCGCGAGGUCAAGCAAAUCCCAUAAAGUUGUUCUCAGUUCGGAUUGUAGUCUGCAACUCGACUACAUGAAGCUGGAAUCGCUAGUAAUCGUAGAUCAGCAUGCUACGGUGAAUACGUUCCCGGGUCU
Molecule: ribosomal RNA, 1372 nt
Filed under: uncultured bacterium
Lineage: Bacteria
Description: bacterial SSU rRNA
Rfam family: Bacterial small subunit ribosomal RNA
Source: RNAcentral